Molecule: ribosomal RNA, 292 nt
Filed under: uncultured bacterium
Lineage: Bacteria
Description: partial 16S ribosomal RNA
Rfam family: Bacterial small subunit ribosomal RNA
Source: RNAcentral
AUUGAACGCUGGCGGCGUGCUUAACACAUGCAAGUCGAUCGGUAACAGGUGUAGCAAUACAUGCUGACGAGAGGCGGACGGGUGAGUAAUGCUUGGGAAUCUGCCUAUUAGUGGGGGACAACCCGGGGAAACUCGGGCUAAUACCGCAUACGCUCUACGGAGGAAAGCCGGGGACCGCAAGGCCUGGCGCUAAUAGAUGAGCCCAAGUCGGAUUAGCUAGUUGGUAGGGUAACGGCCUACCAAGGCGACAAUCCGUAGCUGGUCUGAGAGGACGACCAGCCACACCGGAACU